RNAcentral lists this ribosomal RNA (247 nucleotides) under uncultured Bdellovibrio sp. RNAcentral's name for it is "partial 16S ribosomal RNA". It matches the Rfam family "Bacterial small subunit ribosomal RNA", at positions 210 to 456 of the family's 1533-position model. The record is from RNAcentral. Lineage: Bacteria; Pseudomonadati; Bdellovibrionota; Bdellovibrionia; Bdellovibrionales; Pseudobdellovibrionaceae.
GUUUUUCGCUUGAGGAUGAGCCCGCGUGAGAUUAGCUAGUUGGUGAGGUAAUGGCUCACCAAGGCAACGAUCUCUAGCUGGUCUGAGAGGAUGAUCAGCCACACUGGAACUGAGACACGGUCCAGACUCCUACGGGAGGCAGCAGUAGGGAAUAUUGCGCAAUGGAGGAAACUCUGACGCAGCGACGCCGCGUGAGUGAUGAAGGCCUUCGGGUCGUAAAGCUCUGUCGCAGGGGAAUAACACAAUG